CCUAACGGGAGGCAGCAGUGAGGAAUUUUGGUCAUUGGACGAGAGUCUGAACCAGCCAAGUAGCGUGAAGGAUGAUUGCCCUAUGGGUUGUAAACUUCUUUUAUAUGGGAAUAAAAUGUUCCACGUGUGGGAUUUUGUAUGUACUAUAUGAAUAAGGAUCGGCUAAAUCCGUGCCAGCAGCCGCGGUAAUACGGAGGAUCCGAGCGUUACCCGGAUUUAUUGGGUUUAAAGGGAGCGUAGGUGGAUUGUUAAGUCAGUUGUGAAAGUUUGCGGCUCAACCGUAAAAUUGCAGUUGAAACUGGCAGUCUUGAGUACAGUAGGGGUGGGCGGAAUUCGUGGUGUAGCGGUGAAAUGCUUAGAUAUCACGAAGAACUCCGAUUGCGAAGGCAGUUCACUGGACUGCAACUGACACUGAGGCUCGAAAGUGUGGGUAUCAAACAGGAUUAGAUACCCUGGUAGUC
Molecule: ribosomal RNA, 461 nt
Filed under: uncultured bacterium
Lineage: Bacteria
Description: partial 16S ribosomal RNA
Rfam family: Bacterial small subunit ribosomal RNA
Source: RNAcentral